Molecule: ribosomal RNA, 305 nt
Filed under: uncultured bacterium
Lineage: Bacteria
Description: bacterial SSU rRNA
Rfam family: Bacterial small subunit ribosomal RNA
Source: RNAcentral
ACCUACGGGACGCAGCAGUGGGGGAUAUUGCACAAUGGGGGGAACCCUGAUGCAGCGACGCCGCGUGGGUGAAGAAGCGCCUCGGCGCGUAAAGCCCUGUCAGCAGGGAAGAAAAUGACGGUACCUGGGGAGGAAGCUCCGGCUAACUACGUGCCAGCAGCCGCGGUAAUACGUAGGGAGCAAGCGUUGUCCGGAAUUACUGGGUGUAAAGGGAGCGUAGGCGGGGAUGCAAGUUGGGUGUCAAAACUAUCGGCUCAACCGAUAGUCGCACUCAAAACUGCAGCUCUUGAGUGAAGUAGAGGCAG